CCUACGGGUGGCUGCAGUGGGGAAUAUUGGACAAUGGGCGAAAGCCUGAUCCAGCCAUGCCGCGUGUGUGAAGAAGGCCUUCGGGUUGUAAAGCACUUUCAGUGGGGAAGAAAGCCUUGGGGCUAAUACCCUCGAGGAAGGACAUCACCCACAGAAGAAGCACCGGCUAACUCCGUGCCAGCAGCCGCGGUAAUACGGAGGGUGCGAGCGUUAAUCGGAAUUACUGGGCGUAAAGCGCGCGUAGGCGGUCUGAUAAGCCGGUUGUGAAAGCCCCGGGCUCAAACUGGGAACGGCAUCCGGAACUGUCAGGCUAGAGUGCAGGAGAGGAAGGUAGAAUUCCCGGUGUAGCGGUGAAAUGCGUAGAGAUCGGGAGGAAUACCAGUGGCGAAGGCGGCCUUCUGGACUGACACUGACGCUGAGGUGCGAAAGCGUGGGUAGCAAACAGGAUUAGAUACCCUAGUAGUC
Molecule: ribosomal RNA, 465 nt
Filed under: Vreelandella stevensii
Lineage: Bacteria; Pseudomonadati; Pseudomonadota; Gammaproteobacteria; Oceanospirillales; Halomonadaceae
Description: partial 16S ribosomal RNA
Rfam family: Bacterial small subunit ribosomal RNA
Source: RNAcentral